Molecule: non-coding RNA, 148 nt
Filed under: Gorilla gorilla gorilla (western lowland gorilla)
Lineage: Eukaryota; Metazoa; Chordata; Mammalia; Primates; Hominidae
Source: Rfam by way of RNAcentral
GCCGGGCAUGGUGGUGCGUGCCUGUAAUCCCAGCUACUUGGGAGGCUGAGGCAGGAGAAUCACUUGAACCCAGGAGGCAGAGGUUGCAGUGAGCUGAGAUCACGCCAUUGCACUCCAGCCUGGGCUACAGAGCGAGACUCUGUCUCAA